GAGAGAUCAAAUAGUACGUGAAAUCGACCAAAUGGAAGCGGAUAUAGUCGGCGGAUCUGAUUCGUAUUCAGCCGAAUACUGUGCGGUUGCGACAAUUGGCGUCGUCGUCUCCGGGCUCUCGGAUGCGUUGACGCCUGUUGGCGCUUUUUCGCGCAAAUCGGUGCACUUGCGAAUCAUUGUGCGCUGGAACGUGCGCGCCUUUCGCUUGCGGCCGAAGAAGAGGAUGCGUUUUUCGAUACGUAAAACCGGCUUCUGGCUUAGCGAGCGGUUCGGCGUGCACUUGCCAAGUAGGCGCGAAAAACGUCUGACGUAUUGUCAUUCAGCGGGCGUAUGGCGAUCGCAUGCGACACGCGUACGUCUUUGGUUUGGCGUGCGUUAGGCCUUUUCGCGAUUUUCCGGCGUAAGAGUCGAGCGAUUAUCCGACCCGUCUUGAAACACGGACCAAGGAGUUUAAGGUAUGCGCGAGUGAUUGGGUGACUAAAACCCAAAUGCGAAAUGAAAGUGAAUGUGCACUUGAGGCACUUAUACGCGAUCCGUCAUCGUUUGUGGUGCGCGGAGCAGCGUAGCCCCGUCUUGAUCGCUUGCGAUGGGGCGGAGGAAGAGCGUAUGCGUUGAGACCCGAAAGAUGGUGAACUAUGCUUGAGCAGGACGAAGUCAGAGGAAACUCUGAUGGAAGUCCGAAACGGUUCUGACGUGCAAAUCGAUCGUAUGAUUUAAGUAUAGGGGCGAAAGACUAUCGACUAUC
Molecule: ribosomal RNA, 745 nt
Filed under: Bradynema listronoti
Lineage: Eukaryota; Metazoa; Nematoda; Chromadorea; Rhabditida; Allantonematidae
Description: eukaryotic LSU rRNA
Rfam family: Eukaryotic large subunit ribosomal RNA
Source: RNAcentral